CGGACGGGUGAGUAAUGUCUGGGAAACUGCCUGAUGGAGGGGGAGAACUACUGGAAACGGUAGCUAAUACCGCAUAACGUCGCAAGACCAAAGAGGGGGACCUUCGGGCCUCUUGCCAUCGGAUGUGCCCAGAUGGGAUUAGCUAGUAGGUGGGGUAACGGCUCACCUAGGCGACGAUCCCUAGCUGGUCUGAGAGGAUGACCAGCCACACUGGAACUGAGACACGGUCCAG
This 232-nucleotide ribosomal RNA is filed under the name uncultured bacterium. RNAcentral describes it as "partial 16S ribosomal RNA". It matches the Rfam family "Bacterial small subunit ribosomal RNA", at positions 99 to 334 of the family's 1533-position model. The record is from RNAcentral.